AAGAGAGCUAUCCGUGAACAGU
This 22-nucleotide microRNA is filed under the name Daphnia pulex (common water flea). RNAcentral describes it as "Dpu-Mir-281_5p (mature (guide))". RNAcentral also lists the same sequence under 1 other name. Lineage: Eukaryota; Metazoa; Arthropoda; Branchiopoda; Diplostraca; Daphniidae. The record is from RNAcentral.